GACGAACGCUGGCGGCGUGCCUAACACAUGCAAGUCGAACGAGGUCCAUCCUUCGGGAGAAGACCUAGUGGCGAACGGGUGAGUAACACGUGAGAAACCUGCCCCGAAGACCGGGAUAACCCUCCGAAAGGAGAGCUAAUACCGGAUGCCCCCACCGAGCCGCAUGGCUUGGUGAGGAAAUGGAUUCCGCUUCGGGAGGGUCUCGCGGCCUAUCAGCUAGUUGGUGGGUAACGGCCCACCAAGGCAUCGACGGGUAGCUGGUCUGAGAGGACGAUCAGCCACACUGGGACUGAGACACGGCCCAGACUCCUACGGGAGGCAGCAGUGGGGAAUCUUGCGCAAUGGGCGAAAGCCUGACGCAGCAACGCCGCGUGGGGGAUGAAGGCUCUCGGGUUGUAAACCCCUUUCAGCAGGGACGAAAUCAGACGGUACCUGCAGAAGAAGCUCCGGCUAACUACGUGCCAGCAGCCGCGGU
Molecule: ribosomal RNA, 475 nt
Filed under: uncultured bacterium
Lineage: Bacteria
Description: bacterial SSU rRNA
Rfam family: Bacterial small subunit ribosomal RNA
Source: RNAcentral